This is a non-coding RNA of Acanthosepion pharaonis, 110 nucleotides long. The record is from the annotation of a GenBank genome assembly. NCBI's taxonomy places the organism in Eukaryota, Metazoa, Mollusca, Cephalopoda, Sepiida, Sepiidae.
GCCAUAUCACAUUGAAAUACCGGUCCUCGUACGAUCAUCAAAGUUAAGCAAUCUCGAGACUGGUCAAGUGCCUAGAUGGGUGACCACUUGGGACUACCUGGUGCUGUAAG